ACAUGGGGCAGCUACACAUGCAGUCGGACGGUAGCACAGAGGAGCUUGCUCCUUGGGUGACGAGUGGCGGACGGGUGAGUAAUGUCUGGGGAUCUGCCCGAUAGAGGGGGAUAACCACUGGAAACGGUGGCUAAUACCGCAUAACGUCGCAAGACCAAAGAGGGGGACCUUCGGGCCUCUCACUAUCGGAUGAACCCAGAUGGGAUUAGCUAGUAGGCGGGGUAAUGGCCCACCUAGGCGACGAUCCCUAGCUGGUCUGAGAGGAUGACCAGCCACACUGGAACUGAGACACGGUCCAGACUCCUACGGGAGGCAGCAGUGGGGAAUAUUGCACAAUGGGCGCAAGCCUGAUGCAGCCAUGCCGCGUGUAUGAAGAAGGCCUUCGGGUUGUAAAGUACUUUCAGCGGGGAGGAAGGCGGUGCGGUUAAUAACCGCACCGAUUGACGUUACCCGCAGAAGAAGCACCGGCUAACUCCGUGCCAGCAGCCGCGGUAAUACGGAGGGUGCAAGCGUUAAUCGGAAUUACUGGGCGUAAAGCGCACGCAGGCGGUCUGUUAAGUCAGAUGUGAAAUCCCCGGGCUUAACCUGGGAACUGCAUUUGAAACUGGCAGGCUUGAGUCUUGUAGAGGGGGGUAGAAUUCCAGGUGUAGCGGUGAAAUGCGUAGAGAUCUGGAGGAAUACCGGUGGCGAAGGCGGCCCCCUGGACAAAGACUGACGCUCAGGUGCGAAAGCGUGGGGAGCAAACAGGAUUAUAUACCCUGGUAGUCCACGCCGUACACGAUGUCUACUUGGAGGUUGUUCCCUUGAAGAGUGCCUUCCGGAGCUCACGCGUUAAGUCUACCGCCUGGGGAGUACGGCCGCAAGGUUAAAACUCAAAUGAAUUGACGGGGGCCCGCACAGCGGUGGAACAUGUGGUAUUAUCUCAAUGCACGCGCAGACUCUUACCUACUCUUG
This 954-nucleotide ribosomal RNA is filed under the name Pantoea sp. RNAcentral's name for it is "bacterial SSU rRNA". It matches the Rfam family "Bacterial small subunit ribosomal RNA", at positions 35 to 983 of the family's 1533-position model. Lineage: Bacteria; Pseudomonadati; Pseudomonadota; Gammaproteobacteria; Enterobacterales; Erwiniaceae. The record is from RNAcentral.